UUUAAUUCGAUGCAACGCGAAGAACCUUACCUGGUCUUGACAUCCACGGAAGUUUUCAGAGAUGAGAAUGAGCCUUCGGGAACCGUGAGACAGGUGCUGCAUGGCUGUCGUCAGCUCGUGUUGUGAAAUGUUGGGUUAAGUCCCGCAACGAGCGCAACCCUUAUCCUUUGUUGCCAGCGGUCCGGCCGGGAACUCAAAGGAGACUGCCAGUGAUAAACUGGAGGAAGGUGGGGAUGACGUCAAGUCAUCAUGGCCCUUACGACCAGGGCUACACACGUGCUACAAUGGCGCAUACAAAGAGAAGCGACCUCGCGAGAGCAAGCGGACCUCAUAAAGUGCGUCGUAGUCCGGAUUGGAGUCUGCAACUCGACUCCAUGAAGUCGGAAUCGCUAGUAAUCGUGGAUCAGAAUGCCA
Molecule: ribosomal RNA, 414 nt
Filed under: uncultured bacterium
Lineage: Bacteria
Description: bacterial SSU rRNA
Rfam family: Bacterial small subunit ribosomal RNA
Source: RNAcentral